This is a non-coding RNA of Macaca mulatta (Rhesus monkey), 1391 nucleotides long. The record is from RefSeq and is a predicted model, not a curated record. NCBI's taxonomy places the organism in Eukaryota, Metazoa, Chordata, Mammalia, Primates, Cercopithecidae.
CAGCUGCCAGGACUCCAUGCCCCCUCCCGUCCCUCCAGCCACUCCUUUUCAGUCUCCUGGGCUCUUCCUGCUCAUCUCUGUCUUCCAGUGGCUGCCCUUGCUCAGGCCUUGAACCUCUUCUUUUCCCUCCCCACCACACCCCUCAGACUUCUGCCCAUCUCGUGGCUCUGAACCCCGUCGCUAUGCUGCAGACCCCACCCCCUCUACUUCUCCCCUGAACCCCAGAGCUGUUUAUUUCCUGCCUGUGGUGCUCCGCUACGAGGGUGGGGAACGUGUGCCUCAGAUUCCCGGGUCAUACACUGAGCUUCCGACUGCCCUCACCCCAGCCGAGCUCUUCCCAGAGUGGCCCCCCACCCUCACAGGUGUCAGUCCCACUCCCAGGAGUCACCCCAACUUCUCCCUUCCUCCACGUCCCGCCUCCCACAUCCAGUCCAUUACUGGGCCAGGGGCCCCAUGCCUGUCCCUGGCUCCUCCCAGGCCCAGGCUCUUGUGCUGCUCCUCACAGCGUUCCCUGUGCCCACCUCGAACCCUGCCGGCAGACUCUACGUGGCCAGGGUGAUCCUCGCAGAACAUAAGUUCCAUUAUGUCAUUGCUUUGCUCCAAACCUUCCUACGGCUUCCAUUCCAUUCAGAGCCAAAGUCCGAUCUUAACAGUGGGUCCACAACCUUUCUAGCCACAGCCCCCCGCCAAGCCCCUCACACACUGGCCCCUGCCACACUGUCUCCCUGGGGGUCUGUGAACCCAGCAAACAGAGUCACUCCCACCUCAGGGCUUCAUGCACUCCCCUCCGCCUGCCCGAAUUCAACUUCUGACCACCAUGGUCUGCCUGAGCCCCCUCCCAUGUUUGCCUCUUUAUGCCAAGGUCACCAUCUGGGGGAGGUCUUCCCUGGACACCUCCCUUACAUCGCAAUCCCUGUCUCCCCCACACUCCCUGUUCCCGCCCCUGGGCUGUUUCUCCCCAGCGCCUGUCACCUGCUCACAUGCCUUCUCCUCCACCUACUCGUCUGGCUUGUGCUGUCUGCCCACCAAGAUGCCGGCUCCGGGAAAGCAGGGAGAUUUGUCUGCUGGUUCCCAGCUGUGCCUGGCACCUAGUAGACACGGAACAGGAUGCAAGACACACAGGCAGAGCCAACUGGCCCGGAGUCCACCUUCUCGAGCUGCAGAUGCCACUGUCCAAUCAGGAGCGACUGCAUCUGCCAGGCAGCCAAUCCCUGUGGAGCCGACAUCCUUAGGGAGAUAGUAUUUGGAGAAACGGAAGCAUGGGGCAUUUAGAAGGCCUGCCCAACUUGUCACGGAGCAAAGAGAAGCGAGAUGUGAAAAUGCUUGGAGCCCAGGAAGGAAUCCGGUCAUUAAAUCCUAGCUCUUCCCCUUGACGUGGUUGGCUGACAAGG